This 832-nucleotide ribosomal RNA is filed under the name Cis bifasciatus. RNAcentral describes it as "SSU rRNA". It matches the Rfam family "Eukaryotic small subunit ribosomal RNA", at positions 120 to 893 of the family's 1831-position model. Lineage: Eukaryota; Metazoa; Arthropoda; Insecta; Coleoptera; Ciidae. The record is from RNAcentral.
UUAGAUCGUACACACAUUUACUUGGAUAACUGUGGUAAUUCUAGAGCUAAUACAUGCAAACAGAGCUCCGACCGGAGACGGAAGGAGCGCUUUUAUUAGAUCAAAACCGAUCGGUGGUGGAUUUACUCCAUCAUCGUACAAUUUGGUGAUUCUGAAUAACUUUAAGCUGAUCGCACGGUCUAGUACCGGCGACGCAUCUUUCAAAUGUCUGCCUUAUCAACUGUCGAUGGUAGGUUCUGCGCCUACCAUGGUUGUAACGGGUAACGGGGAAUCAGGGUUCGAUUCCGGAGAGGGAGCCUGAGAAACGGCUACCACAUCCAAGGAAGGCAGCAGGCGCGCAAAUUACCCACUCCCGGCACGGGGAGGUAGUGACGAAAAAUAACGAUACGGGACUCAUCCGAGGCCCCGUAAUCGGAAUGAGUACACUCUAAACCCUUUAACGAGGAUCAAUUGGAGGGCAAGUCUGGUGCCAGCAGCCGCGGUAAUUCCAGCUCCAAUAGCGUAUAUUAAAGUUGUUGCGGUUAAAAAGCUCGUAGUCGAAUCUGUGUCUCGCGCCGCCGGUUCAUCGUUCGCGGUGUUAACUGGCGUGCCGCGGGACGUCCUGCCGGUGGGCUUAGCUCGAGAGGGCGGCCCAAAUCAAUCCUGCCGCGGUGCUCUUCAUUGAGUGUCGAGGUGGGCCGGCACGUUUACUUUGAACAAAUUAGAGUGCUUAAAGCAGGCUAAAUUUCGCCUGAAUACUGUGUGCAUGGAAUAAUGGAAUAGGACCUCGGUUCUAUUUUGUUGGUUUUCGGAACCCCGAGGUAAUGAUUAAUAGGAACGGAUGGGGGCAUUC